This 221-nucleotide non-coding RNA is filed under the name Priestia koreensis. Its description in RNAcentral is "Bacillus koreensis T-box sequence". It matches the Rfam family "T-box leader". From Rfam's summary of the family: Uncharged tRNA acts as the effector for transcription antitermination of genes in the T-box leader family. The record is from RNAcentral. Lineage: Bacteria; Bacillati; Bacillota; Bacilli; Caryophanales; Bacillaceae.
ACAAAAGCAAUGAAGGAUCAAGUAUGCUACAGCCCAUUUAUUCCGUUAGGAUCAGAGAGAAGCUCUCAAGGCUGAGAGGAGCUUUAAAUGAAGGGUAGCAGAAAGCUAAUCUGGAGUGUAGAUAAACUCUGCCGUGAAAGCUACGUUAGUGCUUCUGAGGUGAUGAGCUAAUUGUAGCUCAUAAUCAGGGUGGUACCGCGAGUAUAACUCUCGUCCCUGCU